CCUACGGGGGGCAGCAGUGGGGAAUAUUGGACAAUGGGGGAAACCCUGAUCCAGCGACGCCGCGUGAGUGAAGAAGUAUUUCGGUACGUAAAGCUCUAUCAGCAGGAAAGAAAAUGACGGUACCUGACUAAGAAUCCCCGGCUAACUACGUGCCAGCAGCCGCGGUAAUACGUAGGGGGCAAGCGUGAUCCGGAUUUACUGGGUGUAAAGGGAGCGUAGACGGCAGCACAAGUCUGGAGUGAAAUCCCGGGGCUUAACCCCGGAACUGCUUUGGAAACUGUGCGGCUGGAGUGCAGGAGGGGUAAGCGGAAUUCCUAGUGUAGCGGUGAAAUGCGUAGAUAUUAGGAGGAACACCGGUGGCGAAGGCGGCUUACUGGACUGUAACUGACGUUGAGGCUCGAAAGCGUGGGGAGCAAACAGGAUUAGAUACCCUGGUAGUC
This 440-nucleotide ribosomal RNA is filed under the name uncultured bacterium. RNAcentral describes it as "partial 16S ribosomal RNA". It matches the Rfam family "Bacterial small subunit ribosomal RNA", at positions 338 to 795 of the family's 1533-position model. The record is from RNAcentral.